UAAACACCUGAAAGCUGGGCCCUGGCUGCACGGACGUGCGGACGGCGUCGACGGAGCGAGGCCGAGCCGUGGCUCGAGACGUCGCCGGCGUCCUGGUCCGUGGAUCAGAUCCGGUAGCGCCGGCAGUCGACGCAGUAAAUGCGAUUGGUGGGCCGCUCGGGGGAUGGGGCACUGGAUUUGGAUCUAGCAUUCUUCCCCAGGCGGCGAAGCGGCGGGGAAAUCUACUGCGGCGAAGGCGAUUUGGCAGUCCAGCGAGCUCGAAGGUGCUCGGGCAGCCAUGGAGUUCUUGAUGCAGCCCAUAAGCAGGACACUGCUAGAAGAGAUCAAUGAUAACAAUAGCAUGAUGGAGAAUGUGCGGGUCCUGGUCGUCGCGGCCGCGGAGGUAGAGUUGGCAGCACCGGCGGCUUCCAGCGCCGACAGGCAAAUCUGUCUUGAAGCAGCCAGUGCAAAGCCUGCAGGUGCAGAUGGGGCUGAAUGCUUAGAGCACUCCAUAGAGCAGCUGGACCCAAAAACACCGGGCUGGGCGCAAAGAGUGCGUGUCAGUGCUGCUGCUCUAGGUAGGGCUCCUUUCCCGGACAGGGUUACAGCCCUGGAGAAGACUGUCUGACAAUUUGCAAAGGAACCCGAACCAGGAGACAUUGUCAUUGUGCCAAAGAUAGGAACAAGUUUGGACACACUUGGCGAGGCGUACGACUUUUACAAUUUAUACUCGUGGGAGAAAGGAUAGAUAUGGAAAAAGCAGGCUAAAUGUCAACCGGACGAAAUGCAUGCUGGAGACAGUCUGUGGAUGUGCGGGGAAGCCAAUAAUUGAAGAUACUCGUUCUUGCCACUGUGAAUGCCCUGCCCUCAUAAGGUUGUUGCAGUCAAAGGACAAUGGUUGGUAUAUAGCUGAGCAUCGAGAAGUGCACAACCAUGCACUGUCAUAGACAUUUUUUUUUGAUAAAAGAGAGCAUUCUCUCCGAUUUCCAUUAAGAGAAAUCACCAUGUCUUACAAAGAAAAAACAGGAAAUAAAACUGCAGCAUAACCCCCCCCCCUACGCAGUACUGUCACAGAAAUAUGGUCAGACACAAGCAUAUUGAUGUGUACAACAGGGAUCUUGUGAAGCAGCUUUGGCAAAACAAUGUAAACCUUGCCAAGGUGUACAUCAUUAUCAGUAGCUUCUUUGGAAGAUGGAGAAUGUACCAUUCACAAAGAGAGCAUUACGGAAUCUGUGUGGCUGACCAGGAAGCCGAUGAAGAAUUGCCCCACCUAACAUGGAGGCACCCACUUGAACCAGAUUACUCGACAUUGGUGCUAUCCGAUUUCGACUAUGUCCACACUGUCGAUUCAGAACCAGUUAGCAGCUAGUGCGCCGAAGUAUGACAUCACAUCAGCACAACUGUUCUUCACUCCCGUUCCAGAUCCCGAAGGUUGGAUGGUCAUUUUUUGGGACAUGGCCGGUUACACGGCUGAUGACAGUCAUCAACCUGUUGUACAGUAAGAAAUGUCCACACCCACCUACCCAGCAACUGGACGAAAUCAUAGCAUGGAAGCUACAUUAUGCCCUGUUCCAUUGCCGGACAGAAUACUAUGCCGGGUGGCCAGCAAGCAAGGAAGGCUGGACUGUGAAGUUCCUGGCAUUCGCUGAGACCAAAUUCACACGCGAGGAGUUUGGUGCUUGCGUUGUCCACAUAGUCCGUCAGUUCGACAGGGACAACCUGAAGCUGCCCAUUACAAAGCACAACAUAUCAAAAUCAAAGCACGACGCCCUGCGCACGAAUGCAUGAAGCUACAGGGAAAUUUCUCCUCCCCCGCCCGUGAGGCAGUUUGGCAUGUUCUUGCCCUAUCAGACUCCACAUUUGACACCAGCUAAAACACCGAUGUACUAAAUUACCCAGGAUGUCCCACUGGGUGAUUUAUCCUUAUCAUCUCAUGAAAAGAAGUGUUUUCAACGCAAGCUUGUACCCCUAAUGCUACAUUUGAAUUAUGUGCCGAGCAUUGUACUAUCAAAGACCAUGGUUUCAAACCAUAUCCUUUUUUGUUAAGCAAUUUGCUGCCCCUGAUAUACU
This is an RNA transcript of Triticum aestivum (bread wheat), 2049 nucleotides long. RefSeq lists it as uncharacterized. NCBI's taxonomy places the organism in Eukaryota, Viridiplantae, Streptophyta, Magnoliopsida, Poales, Poaceae. The record is from RefSeq and is a predicted model, not a curated record. The transcript is spliced from 9 exons.